AUGUGUAUGUGUGUGUGUGUGUGUAUGAGUGUUGGCAAAGGAGAGGUCACGAACGGAACAACUUUCACGAUUAUAAACUCGAGGAAAGAAGGAGAAGAAGAAGAAGACACUAACUGCACAAUCGAACUAAUCGAAUAGUUUGAAUAGUUUCGAUUGAUUAACCUAUCGACCGUUGAUCUCCAUAUCUCUCGCCUGCCCUGAAUAUCGUAGUUCAUUUCUUUCACUGGCAUGUGCUGGAAACGAUGAACGUUCUGAUUAGAAAAGGAUAUAUAUGGGCACAUUAUAUUUAUUAUGGCGAGGUGUCAACGUCGUUGCUACUUUCAUCGCCGUUCUCUCUUUGACACGCCGACUCGAGAUGUUUAUUCAGGUACGACUUAAGGGCAAAGGACUUAUGACAUUUAGGACAUUCAUAG
This is a long non-coding RNA of Vespa mandarinia (Asian giant hornet), 413 nucleotides long. The record is from RefSeq and is a predicted model, not a curated record. NCBI's taxonomy places the organism in Eukaryota, Metazoa, Arthropoda, Insecta, Hymenoptera, Vespidae.